This 429-nucleotide ribosomal RNA is filed under the name Bacteroidota bacterium. RNAcentral's name for it is "Bacteroidetes bacterium partial 16S ribosomal RNA". It matches the Rfam family "Bacterial small subunit ribosomal RNA", at positions 355 to 776 of the family's 1533-position model. Lineage: Bacteria; Pseudomonadati; Bacteroidota. The record is from RNAcentral.
UAGGGAAUCUUCGGCAAUGGGGGGAACCCUGACCGAGCAACGCCGCGUGAGUGAAGAAGGAUUUCGGAUCGUAAAGCUCUGUUGUUAAGGAAGAACGAGUGUGAGAAUGGAAAGUUCAUACUGUGACGGUACUUAACCAGAAAGGGACGGCUAACUACGUGCCAGCAGCCGCGGUAAUACGUAGGUCCCGAGCGUUGUCCGGAUGUAUUGGGCGUAAAGCGAGCGCAGGCGGUUAGAUAAGUCUGAAGUUAAAGGCAGUGGCUCAACCAUUGUAGGCUUUGGAAACUGUUUGUCUUGAGUGCAGAAGGGGAUAGUGGAAUUCGUUGUGGAGCGGUGAGAUUCGUAGAUAUAUGGAAGAACACCGGUGGCGAAAGCGGGUCGCUGGGCUGUAACUGACGCUGAGGCUCGAAAGCGGGGGGAGCGAACAGG